Molecule: ribosomal RNA, 465 nt
Filed under: Vreelandella stevensii
Lineage: Bacteria; Pseudomonadati; Pseudomonadota; Gammaproteobacteria; Oceanospirillales; Halomonadaceae
Description: partial 16S ribosomal RNA
Rfam family: Bacterial small subunit ribosomal RNA
Source: RNAcentral
CCUACGGGGUGCAGCAGUGGGGAAUAUUGGACAAUGGGCGAAAGCCUGAUCCAGCCAUGCCGCGUGUGUGAAGAAGGCCUUCGGGUUGUAAAGCACUUUCAGUGGGGAAGAAAGCCUUGGGGCUAAUACCCUCGAGGAAGGACAUCACCCACAGAAGAAGCACCGGCUAACUCCGUGCCAGCAGCCGCGGUAAUACGGAGGGUGCGAGCGUUAAUCGGAAUUACUGGGCGUAAAGCGCGCGUAUGCGGUCUGAUAAGCCGGUUGUGAAAGCCCCGGGCUCAACCUGGGAACGGCAUCCGGAACUGUCAGGCUAGAGUGCAGGAGAGGAAGGUAGAAUUCCCGGUGUAGCGGUGAAAUGCGUAGAGAUCGGGAGGAAUACCAGUGGCGAAGGCGGCCUUCUGGACUGACACUGACGCUGAGGUGCGAAAGCGUGGGUAGCAAACAGGAUUAGAUACCCUAGUAGUC